Molecule: ribosomal RNA, 429 nt
Filed under: Chloroflexota bacterium
Lineage: Bacteria; Bacillati; Chloroflexota
Description: Chloroflexi bacterium partial 16S ribosomal RNA
Rfam family: Bacterial small subunit ribosomal RNA
Source: RNAcentral
UAGGGAAUCUUCGGCAAUGGACGAAAGUCUGACCGAGCAACGCCGCGUGAGUGAAGAAGGUUUUCGGAUCGUAAAACUCUGUUGUUAGAGAAGAACAAGGACGUUAGUAACUGAACGUCCCCUGACGGUAUCUAACCAGAAAGCCACGGCUAACUACGUGCCAGCAGCCGCGGUAAUACGUAGGUGGCAAGCGUUGUCCGGAUUUAUUGGGCGUAAAGCGAGCGCAGGCGGUUUCUUAAGUCUGAUGUGAAAGCCCCCGGCUCAACCGGGGAGGGUCAUUGGAAAAUGGGAGACUUGAGUGCAGAAGAGGAGAGUGGAGUUCCAUGUGUAGCGGUGAAAUGCGUAGAGAUAUGGAGGAACACCAGUGGCGAAGGCGGCUCCCUGGUCUGUAACUGACGCUGAGGCUCGAAAGCGUGGGGAGCAAACAGG